AUAUUGGUCAAUGGGCGGAAGCCUGAACCAGCCAUCCCGCGUGCAGGAAGAAGGCGCUAAGCGUUGUAAACUGCUUUUGCAGGGGAAGAAACUUCCGGUUGCGACCGGGACUGACGGUACCCUGUGAAUAAGCAUCGGCUAACUCCGUGCCAGCAGCCGCGGUAAUACGGAGGAUGCGAGCGUUAUCCGGAUUCACUGGGUUUAAAGGGUGCGUAGGCGGGCUGAUAAGUCAGUGGUGAAAUUUUACAGCUUAACUGUAAACGUGCCAUUGAUACUGUCAGUCUUGAGUGUGGUCAAGGUAGGCGGAAUGUGUAAUGUAGCGGUGAAAUGCUUAGAUAUUACACAGAACACCGAUUGCGAAGGCAGCUUACUGGGCCACCACUGACGCUGAGGCACGAAAGCGUGGGGAGCAAACAGG
This 418-nucleotide ribosomal RNA is filed under the name uncultured bacterium. Its description in RNAcentral is "bacterial SSU rRNA". It matches the Rfam family "Bacterial small subunit ribosomal RNA", at positions 361 to 776 of the family's 1533-position model. The record is from RNAcentral.